Molecule: transfer RNA, 67 nt
Filed under: Haemaphysalis danieli
Lineage: Eukaryota; Metazoa; Arthropoda; Arachnida; Ixodida; Ixodidae
Description: tRNA-Asp
Source: RNAcentral
AAAAAACUAGUUAAAUUAUUAAAAUAACAAAAGAAUGUCAUUCUUUAAUUACUAAAAGUGUUUUUUA